UAAAUAUGCCACUGAUAGGAAAUUUUGCUCUUUGCUUAUAUCCUUCUAUGAUGUGUUAGUUUGAAGUAUUUUCUUUAAGGGACUUUUCCUGGUCUUGUUCGUUUCUUUGCGUAGGUAUGGCUUAAAUGAUAGCACAAAAUUUCAAGGAAAGAAAAUAACCUAGAAAAGACUUUAUAUCUAGUAUGCUGGUCAUUGAUAAGUUUUAAAUAGAAGAAUGGGAUGUUAAGACCAGCUAUCUUGAGUAGUUUGAUUUUAACAAUGUCACGUUUCCCAUCAGCCCUUCUUAUUUCAAGGAGAGCUGGUAGUGGCUAGAGAAGGGACCAGACUGGGACCUUGAACUGAGGCCUAAACCGAUGGUUAUCAAUUUACCAACUCAGAUUGGUCUGCCUGUGUCUGUUCUGCCUCCUUAUAUUGUAAUUCCAACUUCUAAAACUGUAUUUUCCUCAUUUCUUUGUAGCUUGCCUCUUCCUUCCAACCACCUGUCUUUCAAUCCAUUAAAAAAAAUGGAAAAGUAGCCACCAUAUAGAGGUAACCACUUCAAAUUCAGCAGCAGAGCUAAGAGCUAGUCUUUUCCUCUAGUGCCAAAAAGGUGCUUUUUUGGUGGGAUGAAAAACACAGAGUACCAACUUUCCAACAGGAAUUCUCAGUAGGCUUUUGCCCUCUUAAUUUCAAAUUUUUCUGAUGAUUGUUAUAAAUUGGUUCUUGUUCUAAUUUUUGAAUUUUUCUAGUAUGCCUACAGUUGCACUAGGGAAGUAAAGUUCCAUGCAUUCAAAUAAUUCAGUUGUUUAAUACUCCUUAUCUUAACCAUCCAACAGGAGUGUGAUCCGAAGUUUAAAUCAGACUUUAGUUCAUUUACAGGCAUGAUAAGAGAUGCAAAUGUCACAAGUUGUCCACCAGGAGUUAUGCAGCCUAGCUGUCCUUGCAAAAUAUAUUCAGGAGUAGCUUUUAACUCCUUUUGCAUCAAGCUUCUGUGGAAACCUCAUUCUAAAGAGAAAUACUUGGAGCCUGUCUUUAUCCUUGUUCUUACAUUUGAAACAAAGAUAGUUUUAAAUCCCUUCCAUUUGCUUGCUGUUAUCAAAGCCCUGAACAUACACUCACUAUGUGGUGAGAAGUAAGAAAGAUAAACAGAAACCCUUAGAAAUACCUAGAGUAAUUCAAUAUUAUUCUGUGUUUUUUCUUGCAUUUAUUUUAAACUUAUAUUUUAUUUUCCUUUGCUCCCACAAACACCAUCUGUGCAUCUGGGUGGGGUACACAUUCAAUCUGUGAAAUCUGCCUUAGCAGAUUCGAUGAAUCUCUGGCUGCCAGCAAUGUGGAAAUAUGUUACGUUGGUUGCUCUGAAAGUAAUGCCUCCUAUUUAUUUCCAUGGAAGCUACUCUAGCUACAAACAGCACAACAACUAUUGCAGGAAAUUCUCAGCUACAACACCUUAUUUUUCAACUUAGUCACCACCUUUAGCUAUGCAUUUUCAUUCGCUAUGAACAAGAACUUGUAUGCCACACUCAUAAAAGUUUGCACCAGUGGAGUUGACCCACUACUGCUGUCACCACUGCUGAAAUGCACCACCCACCACCUCACUGUGGGUCUCUGUAAAUGUUCAGCAAGCAUUGAUGAGCCUCCUUAUGGAGGAAGUCAAUGACACAUAUUUGCUUCAUACACAAUUCUGUGUUGUCUACACUUUGUCAGACUGCCCCCCUGCUGCUGUAUGAGCAGUGAGAUGUGAUGGAACAUUGGUAGGAAAGUUCAGUCUCUGCUGUCAUACCAGCAACGUCUACCUCUGGCAUUGUGAGCCAAAAUAAUAAAAUAGGAUUAAUUGCUUUUGGAGAAGACCUCAUAGAAUUGUUCUUUUCACCUGAGUCUUGCCUUGCUCCAGGCCACGCAUUAGAGAAAUUUGCUGUACCUAUGUCAUAGCCAAUUGUAGUACAGGUGUAUACUACUAAAGAAAAAAAGUUUAUUUUCUGAUCUAAAUUAAAUUUUCGCCUUUUAAAAUAUGUUGAUGGGAAUUUAGGACAGAGUUUAUCAGAUUCUGUUACUAAAUCACUAAAUGAGAUAAUCUGUAACUGAAGAAGCAACUGGCUGCUGACAGGUAGACUGCUUUUGAGUUGUUGAAAGUAGCCAAGUAGAAAAAAGGCCAGAAUGUAGGAGUCAAACCAGUGCCCUGAAGACUUCAUUUUAGUUCCUUAUGCUUGUUAUUUCUACCACUUGUAGGCAGCUAGAGAAACUACAAGAUUCUUUUCUCUGUACAUUACUCCUGACAUUUUAUAUUCUUACUUUUCUAAAGUACAUCGUGUUUGAAGUUGCUCUAAUCGUUGACCAAAAGGUACCUUAAAAUGCUAGCUGACAUAUCUUGACCCAGUUAGUUGGGUUCCUCUCUGAGCGAAUUUCAUGGACUGCUCCAUUUUUAGAAGUAUAAACAUGUGAGCAACUCCUUGGUUUAGAUUUCAGCUCUGUGAGUAAAUGCUUAUGUGUUUUUAGACAAAGUUACUUUGUCCUUUGGUUGUGGCUGCAGAUAGAUGUGCUAUAAUCAUUUGCUGAGAGGGCUGGUGACUGUCAAAGCGCUCUGAGCUAGGACUUGCCAUCUGAGCAUGGCUUCAUGUCCUGUAAUAACAAAACAGGUGUUUAAAACUGUAAAUGAUACAUAGGAUGUUUCCUUGAAUUUCUGGUAUAAAGUCUCUGUCUGAACUGCACUGCCUUCAGAGUGCUUACUUCACAAAGGUGAUCUGAUGCUUCUGGAAUUGCAUAUCAUCAAAAUAAAGGAAAAGAAAAGCUUAGGCUUGUAAAUCACUUUGGGGUUUUGAAAAAUAUUACUGUCAUCAGAAAUCUGUAUUACUCCGUGUUUAGCAGUGUUUCUUCCCAGUUAUUUACAGAAGCUAUUCCAGUCUAGAUUUUUGAUGAACAUUGCUUGUAGUGUAUAUCCUUUCUAAAAGCAAAAGAUAAAGACUUUAAGAAUAGUGUUUAAAAAGUGAUUAGAAUAUUGGCUGUUAUUAAUCAAACUGUUGUUUUUUUUUAUAUUAUUUUUAACAUAUUUUUCAUUCCAAGGCUGAAAUUUAAGAAAAACCUUCCUCAUUUCCAUUGCUCUACAAACAUUGUACUCUCAUCUGAGAUCACAGAGCACAUCAAAUGCCCUUUGAAAAGUUGUAUUGACAUACAUUAAAAUACUCGUGAUUAAAUAGGUCCAGCUGAUAGAUGCUUAGAAAAAAUCAUCUUUGUGAUUCACUUUAAGUGAAACAAAGUGGUAUUAAUUAAAUACUGAUUUUAGAACUUCCAAAACUUGUUUAGUAAUUCUUGCUCAGAGAUUCUGAAAACUAAAAUAGAUCAUUACCUCCUUCAGCCUGACCUCUAGUGGAAAAUAUGCCAUGGAAUGGCUGCCCUUGUGCUGAGGUUAGUUUUAAUUACAGCAUGUCUUCCAGAAAGGUGUGUGAUCUUUAGUCAGGGACAUUAAGAAACAGGCAUCGAUCCACUUCUUUUUUCGACUCACUUCUCUCUGAAAUACACAUACACACAAAAUCUAGUCUUUAAAAAAGGAUUUAUUUAUUUAUUUUAAACAAGGCAGUUAUAAAAUUAUUGUGAUGCAAGGAGGAACAUGAAAUAUCUUAAACAGGUGCUUUCCUCCUACAAAGCAUCCUGCUCUUCUUUGCCGUUCACUCUUAGAAAAACAAAACUAAAGCAAAAAGAAUUUAGAGCCUCCUUCCACAUGCACAAAAAUACUACUCUUCUAUUUUAAAAGUAGGCAUGAAAAAUGUGAAUUAUAAUGUCUAAUUUUUUAUUUUCUGUACAUUAUUACUAAUUAAUCAGGCUUAGGAAAUUAUGUUAUGGUGAAUAAGCACACAGAAGACUGUAUUCUGCACAAUUACAUGCCACAUAUGAGGUGUGUAUGAAGUAACCAUGAUCCUAUGUCAUAAAUGCUAAGUAAUAGCAUUGAGCUAGGGCAUCGCUUAUUAGCCUGGAGUGAAACAUAUUGAAGUGCAUGUUUAUAAAAGAGUGGAAAAUGACAUCUCUGGCACACUUUUCUUCAAAGCCUACUGAGGUAUAUGCUAUACGGGCAGGGGAAUGGUGGCUGACUUGUAUUAAGUAGUCAGCCUCCAUGUCUUGACACGGCAUUUCCAAAUUCUGACCUGUGUGCCAGGUGGCUGCUUCCUUUGCCAUGGAAACGCGUUUGAGAGUCAUUUAUUUUUGUACAUUAAAGGAUGUUAUUUUAGCAAUGGCCACAUAACCUCUGUAACGAAAUGCUUUCAUCUCUAGUUCUUUGCUGGUGGAUCCCAGUGCGCAUCACCACUGACAGUUAGCAUCUUUCUUUUACUGUACAUCUUACAUGUUCUGGUGGACUUUUGAGAGUGCAUAAGAAGAGGGAGUUCCAAGAAGCCUGCCUGCCUUAAAAAAAAAAAAAAAAAAAAAGGAGGAGGAGGAGUGCUUGCCUCAUGGGUACUGCUUGUCCAGUGAGGAGAAUAAAUUUAGAAGGUAGCAGCAGUCCUGUAGAAACAAUGAGGAGAAAAAGAAAGAGUGAUAGGAAAGGGAUAUUUUUAUGAUAGCUCAGUGCAGCACGAAGUAGCAGACUCAAUGUAGCCUACUAACUGAAGAUUAAUAGGUUAGGCGUUUUCAGAGAGGUAGGCAGCAUUCUGCUUCUUCAGUUCUAUUUUAUAGACUUAUUAUCUCAAGUUAAAAUAAAUUCAUGUUUAAGGAUGUUUUUCCUUGUACGUCUAGUGAUUGUAUAUCUGCAAAGAGGAUUGUUAAUACCCCAAAUCAGAAUGGAUACGACCCAUUGGCUAGGUAAACUCAAUAGCUAGAUCUGUUCAACCAGCUGCCUCUUAAGGAACCUCUGUGGCAUGCAGACCACAUUUAGGAGAUAGGAGUUGACUGGUAAUUACAAAUAAUACCUUACAAUACUGUCCUUACAUUAAUGGCACUCCUACAGCAUUGGCAAAGAUGAUUUUUUUUUAAUUUCAUUUAUUUAUAUAUUUAUUUAGUGCAUGAAAAUUCACAUCAUUCACAUAUGAUAUGUGCUUGCAAAGUUAUGGUAAGGGUUCCCUUUUCACAGCCACACUUUCAUGGAAAAUCAGAAAAGUCCUUCAAAGCAAAGGUGAGUUCUUUCUAGGAGCUGAACAGAAAGAGUUCAGCUCUGUGGGUUGCUCCAUGUUCCUUGAAAGAAUUUCUGUGCUUCAUAUCUGUAACCCUCAAUUUAGAGAGGAACUAUAGGGAUCAGUAUAAGUGGAAUUGUCACAGAAGCGCUCAAGGUAGGUUAAACUUAUUACUCUUUAGGUACCUAGUAGACCUCUAUAUCAUUGUUAUAAAGCUAGAAGUUCAUCUGCUUCAUCUUUUGAUAGAAAGUGACACCUCAGCUUUUUGUAACUAGCUUGCAGUUGUAUUUUAAUGUGCAUGUCUGUAGCCAUACAACAGAAAGUUGCUUACCAUGCAUCUUUCACAACAAAGUAAUUGUGGUCCAACUCAGAGGCUGUAUUUUUGACAAGGAGCAGCUGCCCAGCAUGACACAGAAGAGGCUGGUGUGGAAAGUUGCACCUCGUCACCACCAGUGUCCUUGGUUUGUAGCAAAAUAUGUAUACUUUUCAUGCGUUAGGCAUACUGAUAUUUGGCAGAUUGUUUUAUUAUGGGUUUUAACUAAGUUCAUUGUUCUCUAUUCAGACAUCUGUUUCACUGUGGAAGGCCCAGCUAUAAACUGUUUUCUUUUUUAAUUUUUUCUUUUUUUUUUCAUCCCAGCUGUUAUCUCAAGGGAAGGUCCUACUUCUACAGUGUGUGUAGUCUUCAUAUGAAAGUCUCUUCUGUAUGCUUAAAGGGUGUUUUGUAAGAAAGAUCCAGUUUGUUACAAAUUCAGGUAAUCUUUUAUGCUGAUGUUAACUGGGACUCUGCAGCUAGUGCUACUUAGUUCUACUGUUUCCUUUCCAGCAGCUUGAAGUUUGCUCUUGAUAUCUUCUUGUCUGUUUGGGAAGUGUUUAGUACUAUUGACCUGCCUUUCUAGCUGACAGGUGGCCUACUUCGCUAAUGUUCCAUGAGCACUUCAUGAUGAUUGUGAUGAAAUGUUCACUUUUAGAACUAUAUCUUAUUGCUUGCUCAUUUGGUGAAUUUUUGGAAAUUCUGCUAAACUGGAGUUUAAUUUUAGUUUCUGUUGAUGCUCAGUCCUUCAGUGCAGUUUGAUAUAUCUAUAGAGUUUCAAGGUAAAUGAAAUGAGUUUUCCUGGUCUUAGUUUUCCACAAGAUUGUUCUGCUGGUGAAAGACUGAGUGCAGCUUCUUACUUUGUGUCUGGAAUUCUGUGAAAGAGAUGUUUCUUUAAGACAUUUUCGUUUAUAAUUAGUUCAUUUUGAGUAAUUUGGUUUUCUUAAAACAAAUCAAACUUAAAUGAGUGAUUCUUAGCUCUCCUGUUUUGCUUCAUCUUUCUAGUUUGCCAAGAUGGAGUUUAGUGUUAAGUACUUAGCCAUUAUUAAGUUUUUGUAUGUUAGAAAAUAAUAGAAUGGUCAGGGCUUAUAAUUAUUAUUUCAUUUCAGUCUUCUCUUCAAACUUUCCUCAUUGCUGAUAAGAAACAAACUAUUCUCUCAGAUCCGUAGUCAUGGCAGUAGGUUUUUCCUCCGUUAUUGCUUAAUUUCAUGCAUGUUACCACUAGAUGUCCCUCUUUGGCUUUUUUAUUAGGGUUCUGAUCUGGGCUUGUGAAGCAUAAAGUAACUGUGUUCCACAACUCUGGCAGGUUGAGUUGUGGGAGAAAAAUAUUUUUCUAGCUUUAAAGAAGUAAUUUGCUAUAGAUAUUAAGGCUAACUACUGUCUCUUUGUACUAAAAAGCCUUUAUGGGGAAAGUGACCUUUGUGAAAACUGUAUAUUUAACCUAUGGCUGAAGCAUUAGAACAUUUUGUUUUGUUCUACUUUUUAAAUUAAUAUGGCACCAAAUGACUGCAAUGUCUAAAUUCUUCUAUUGGGGUUUCUAUGGAGCUAUGCAAUUUAUCUUUUAUUUGCCCGCUAUUGGUUUUCUUAAGUAAAUACAUGUUAUGAUUUGUAUUUAGUAUUUAGCAGCAGGGUAAUCUGAGAAAGGCUGAGACUGUUCAAAAAACAUAAGUAAAGUAGCAGAAACAACACUUAGAAGCUAUGUACAUAGAGCUUACAGAACUCUGUUACCUGUUCUGCCACAAUAUCCAAAGGACAGACACAAUGCAAAUAGUUUCAUUGAAAGCAUCUCAAUAGUUACAGAAUUCAGCUUGGGAAUUGAAAGGUGCUAUAACAAAAUGUUGCUUUUAUUUAUACAAAACUGGGAUGCCCUCUAAAGUAAUGUCUACACAGCAGAUUUACUUGUCACACAAAAUGCCAGGGAAGUGGUGGGGGGCAUUUUUGAGUGAUCCGCUUGGCACAGAGGUGGAAUACAGUGUCAGCAUAAUGAAUGGGACCUUGCUUGGUGGAUGGAAAAUAUUUUAAAUUGAGUUUUUAUUUAAUGGAUUUGAACUUUUCAUGCCCAAUUACCUUUUUUUUUCUUUUUUUUUUUUCCUGAAAGUGAACAAUAAUAAUAAGAAUAAAGUGCAAAGGUUCAAUUUCAUUCUAGAAAUGGGAAAAUAUGCUUGGAAAGCUGUCAAAAGACACAGUCAGAUCUCAGGAGCAUGGAGCAAGGUAGCUAAUACUCUGCAGCGGAUGUCCAUCACCAUCUUCUGUGGCUUUUAAUGUCCUUGUGAAUGGUAAUGUGACAGACUGGAAUGAGUCAUACACAAAGAUGGAUGACAAUGGUUAGGUGAGUUGGUUAGGAUUAGAGAAAGUAUGUCCUUGCAAGGCAGUUUAUAUGAUUUUCUUAAUUUGUUCAAUUAAGUCUAAUGUAUGCAAGAGUUAUAGAGAAACCUGCAAGAUGAGGUUAGUGGGAUUUAAGGAAACCACUCCUGCAUACUCAGAAGUAAAUCCUUCCCACAAAUAGCUUAAACCAUCCUGUAGCAGGAGUGUAAGGAGGAUGAAGAAAAGCAACAAUCCCUAUUUAAGUCAGAUGGUCUUUGAAAUAAUAACCUGUUUCCAAUGAACUUCUGUUGUAGGAGUUUUUAAGUCUAGGCACAUAUGCAUCUAGAAUGAGAAGCUUAGCCUAAAUGUAUUGACCUCUGCUAAAUAAAAAUAUACUUUUAUGAGUAAAUGUAAUGAGUAAGCACACAUCUGUAUGUUACUUCUAAGUUCUCAUCACCAUGAUAUCUGGGUAACAACAUAUUGACUACAGAACUGAUUCAGAGACCAGUGAUUCAAUGAAAAGAUUCCCACUGAUUUUUACAGGCUUUGUGCCUAGACAAGUAGUCUCAAUCACAUUCCCUUCAUUUAAUGAAGUAUAUGCACAAUAGAGUCUGUAUUAGAAUAUUUACUGCAAGCAAAGAUAAAAUAUUGCAUUGUAAAAUCUCAGGAAAAAAAACUCAAAACUGUCAGGUAGUUGCCACCUUACUUCAGGUUUAACUCUGCUAUAACUACCUCUAGAAGUGGCUGGUCCAUUGUUUACUUAUUCUCGAUCACAGCAAGAGCUGUAUUGAUGGUUGGCCUUUGACUUGGCGUUACUGAUGGCUCAUAUGGUGCAAUCCUCAGCAGGGAACAUAAGAGAGCACCACUUUAAAAUGGAUCCUGCUGGCCAUGUGGUGCUGUUUUGUUCUGUGCACUGCUAAAAGGGACACUGUCUACUUGAAAUCUAGUCAAUUAAAAACAAACAGGCUAAUAGGAGCUUCAUGUCCCCAAGUCCUUUUGCCAUUUUCUGGGGGUUUGCAAUCAAGAGGAGCCUAUUUUAAGUGUAUUUUUCUCAUUCAUGUUUGCCAUUUAAUUUUUUCUUUUUUUCCUCAUAUGUGUGCAUGUAUGUUUGUGUGUAAAAGUAUAAACCGUGCUAAAGGAAGUACUUACCACUUCAUUGGCAUGGAAAUGAAUGAGUAAAUAUGAGUAAACACAACAAACAAAAAGCAAAUAAUCUACAUUUUCUUUGUGUAAUUCACAAAGUAAGAACAAAAGUUUUUUUUUCCUUUAACUUUCAGUUACUGAUGUUUUGUGGUUUUUUUUUUUUUUUCCUGAAAAUAUACAUGUUUGGCAGCAUGGAAUAGAUAAACUGAGUGGGAUUUUUUAGCAACCAAAAAAGUAGUCAUUUAAGAAAUUGAAUAGAAUUGUAUGAUCUGAAUAAACAUUUUAAAAACUCUUUCUGAAACAAACUGAACAACAACAACAACAAAAUCAAUAGAUAUGGAUAGUUCUGACUUAGUUCUAACUUUUAAGCAUCUACUUAAAAUUGUAGUCUGGAGUAGCUCAGGAAGGUCUGAGUUCAUUCAGACAACGGGUUGUGUAUUGCAGAAUGCCAUGGAGGCCAGGCAGGGCUCAUUGUUAGGGGCACCAAGGAUCAAGGAUUGUGGUGUGAAUUGAUGGCAUUCAGCACUUCAGUGGAAGUGUGGUGGUCAGAACCGUUGAUAUGGGAUAGUAAAAUUCCUUCAGGAUGUUUUCUAUCCAGAAUUCUAGAUGACAAAGGCAAAAGAACUAGUGGACAGCUGACAGGACGUUCACUGAAGACUAGGGACUGACUGACUGACAAUUAAGAUAACAGUACUAGUCUUGGUCAUAUAAUGAGACCCAUCACACAAUUGAACUAGUUUCUCAGGUGCUAGUAUAACUAUUCCUUCUCUUUAAGCUCAGAUAUAAACUUUCUCCCUCAUCUGUUUAGAAGUAUUGAAGUGAGAUUAGCAAACGUGGGAGAGUGAUGUGAGAUCAUCAUAUUCUCCAAGGUCUCUGUGCUGUCAGUGAAUUUGGUGUGGGCAACAGAGGGUCCGUUGCAGUGCGGGCAGAACUAGUUGAUGGAGUGUUUAAUGAUGCAACACUUUCUUUAGUAAUGUGUCUCAUUUGGACACCACAGCACAUCCUGUUUGUAUUUAAUCUCCUUCCCCUGGUGCUUUAUCUAUGUCUACUACUUUUGCAUUUUGACCCAAGGGACUUUUAUUUUAAUCAUUUGCUCUUACUACCUGAACUUUCUUGUACAUACUUAAUAAUACUUUACUUGCGACUUGAACAUAUGGAACAGAUAUUUUUAGUUCUCACAGUUAGACUUGAUUGCUUAAAAGAUAUAUUUUUCUUCUUUCAAAGAAAGCAUUUAAAAUCUCUUAUAUUUUCACAUGCUACCCUGAAGGAUGUUUAGUGUUGACCAGGAAUGCAUACAAAGUGAAACUCUUUAGAUUUUCUUUUUUCUUUUCUUUUUUUUUUUUUUUUUCCCCAGCAGGAGAGUAACUAAGUUCAGUGAAUGAAAAAGCCCUAUCGAGUAAGGACCUGAUGUUUUACAGCCAUCUGAACUUACCUGACCCAGGACCCUGUGCUAUACAGUUCCAUUAGAAAAGCACCAAAUGCUGACAAGUAGGUUUCAUUAGCAGAACCUUAAUAUAGUGAGAAUCUGGUUACAAAAGUGCUAGAUAUCUCAAACAAAGAGUAACAAUUCCUUGCUUCAGCUCAUAAAAACUAAGAGUUAUAACCGGAGCAGAAAAAGGCUAUAUUUCAUCCAUAUCUUUUUUUUUUUUUUUUUUUUUUGACUAAGUCAUGUAAUAUCACAGAAUCACAGACUUGCAGGUGUUGGAAUGGACCUCAAGAGAUCAUCAAGUCCAACCCCCCUGUUGAAGCAGAUUCCCUACAAUAGGUUGCACAAGUAGGCAACUAGACAGAUCUUGAAUAUCUCCAUAGAAGGAGACUCCACAACCUCUCUGGGCAGCCUGUUCCAGUGCUCUGUCACCCUUACCGUAAAGAAGUUCUUCCACAUAUUAUAUGGAACUUCCUAUGUUCAUGUUUUAGACCAUUACUCUUUGUGCUAUCACUUACUACACACCACUGAGAAGAGCCUGGCCUCAUCCAUUUGCCUCCACCUCCCAUUAGACAUGUAUAAACAUUUAUCAGAUCCACCUUCAGUCUUCUUUUCCCCAGCCUGAACAGACCGAGGUUGCUCAUCCUUUCCUCAUACAGGAGAUGCUACAGGCUCUUUAUUAUCUUUGUGGCCCUCCACUGGACUCUUUCUAGGAGAUCCCUGUCUUCUUUGAACUGUGAAGCCCAGAACUGGACACAGUAUUCUAAAUGUGGCUUCAUCAGGGUAGAGUAGAGAGGGAGGAUCACCUCCUUCAAGCUGCUGACCGCUCUCUUUUUAAUGCAACACAGGAUACCAGUGGCCUUCUGGGCUGCAAAGGGCACAGUGCUGGUUCAUGAUCAUCCUGUUGUCCACCAGAACAACCAGGUCCUUCUCUGCAGAGCUUCCCUCCAGCAGAUCAUCCCCUAAUCUGUACUGAUAUAUUCCUCCCCAGGUGCAAGAAUCUGCACUUGCUCUUGUUAAACCUCAUCAUGUUCCUCCCUGCCCAGCUCUCCAGUCUGUCCAGGUCUUAUUGAAUGGUAGCACAGAUUUUGAUGUGUCAGCCAUUCCUCUCACCGUUUUAUCACCAGCAAACUUGCUGAGGGUAGACUUUAUCCCUUCAUCCAGGUCAUUGAUGAAGAUGUUGAACAAGACUGGACCCAACACUGAUCUCUGUUCUUAUGUUUCCAAUCUCCAAACUUCCAUUAAUAAAGGAAUUAUAGCUUAAUAAAUUAAUGCUAAUUACUAGAAUUGCCUGUAUACAAGUUGACUGAGCUGUAGAUCAAAUGCACAUGCUUUCACACUGCCAAAUAUGAGGUAAAUGUUCAACCGUAAGGUAAGAGAAGAAGAGACAUACUGACAAAAGGCCAAAUGACAAAGAAAAAAUUAAAUGUGGUACCUUGGAGUUGGAAUCAGGAAAAUUGCUCUACUGUGACAUAUGACAAGUUGAGCCGCAUUAUUUUCCUUUGAUUUUGUUUCUGUCACUUUUUUUCUUACCACCUUAGGCAAGGAACUGUAUUUUAUUAUCAUGGAGAUUUGUACAGGACCUAGCAAAACAAGAUGAUGUUUAUGAUGGAAGCUGCAAUUUUAAUUUGUUACUAUAGGUGGUACUGUAAUAUUAAUACAUAAUAUUAAAGAAAAAGAAAUAAUGAGUGUGAACAAUCAAUAAAAAGAAUGGUAGCAAACAAAUGCUGAUGUUUCAUACUGUCUAAGUUCCAGCGGAGGUGAUUUUUAAGACUGAAGGAGAGGUAGUGACAUUCAUGUGAUGCCUUUUAAACUGUGCAAGUCUGCUAGAUGUUUUUGGUUUUUUGUUUUGUUUUCAGUUUUCUCCCAAACCUCCCAUAGCCAUGGCUAGAUCACACCCUACUCCUUUCUCCCAACCUAGUAAUUGUCUGCGGUGAAUGCCUGAAUGCUGCAGAAAAAGCUGGUGCAAGAUGACUAAAUAGUACUGAGAUAAGGCAUGAAAAUUAGAAGACACUUUUCAAAAUGGAAAAUGUUAUUGAUAUAUGUAACCAAGAAAGGUUUGCAUAGUGUGCCAUGCAGAAUACAUCAAGAUUUAAUCUUCAGUCUUCUUCAGCCUCAUCUUGAACAGGCUUUCCUCUCAUCUAGCUUUCCUAGAUCACAGCUUUUACUCACAGAGCAGUAGUACUUAGUUUUGUUUCAUUUUAUGGUGCUGGUGCUUUAAAGUCUAGUAGUAGUCAUAUAGUCCAGAUAGGAACCAAAACAUAGUAAGGCAUAAG
This 12531-nucleotide long non-coding RNA is filed under the name Gallus gallus (chicken). Lineage: Eukaryota; Metazoa; Chordata; Aves; Galliformes; Phasianidae. The record is from RNAcentral.